GAUGAAGAACGUAGCGAAAUGCGAUAAGUAAUGUGAAUUGCAGAAUUCAGUGAAUCAUCGAAUCUUUGAACGCACAUUGCGCCCCCUGGUAUUCCGGGGGGCAUGCCUGUUCGAGCGUCAUUUCACCACUCAAGCCUCGCUUGGUAUUGGGGUUCGCGGUUCCGCGGCCCCUAAAAUCAGUGGCGGUGCCUGUCGGCUCUACGCGUAGUAAUACUCCUCGCGUCUGGGUCCGGUAGGUCUACUUGCCAGCAACCCCCAAUUUUUACAGGUUGACCUCGGAUCAGGUAGGGAUACCCGCUGAACUUAAGCAUAUCAAUAAGCGGAGGA
Molecule: unclassified non-coding RNA, 327 nt
Filed under: soil metagenome
Description: partial contains 5.8S ribosomal RNA, internal transcribed spacer 2, and large subunit ribosomal RNA
Rfam family: 5.8S ribosomal RNA (bases 1-120)
Source: RNAcentral